AACACUACAUUGAGGAAAUGCUUUGUAGCUGACGGUACCUUAUCAGAAAGCGAUGGCUAACUAUGUGCCAGCAGCCGCGGUAAUACAUAGGUCGCAAGCGUUAUCCGGAAUUAUUGGGCGUAAAGCGUUCGUAGGCUGUUUAUUAAGUCUGGAGUCAAAUCCCAGGGCUCAACCCUGGCUCGCUUUGGAUACUGGUAAACUAGAGUUAGAUAGAGGUAAGCGGAAUUCCAUGUGAAGCGGUGAAAUGCGUAGAUAUAUGGAAGAACACCAAAGGCGAAGGCAGCUUACUGGGUCUAUACUGACGCUGAGGGACGAAAGCGUGGGGAGCAAACAGGAUUAGAUACCCUGGUAGUCCACGCCGUAAACGAUGAUCAUUAGUCGGUGGGUUAUUCACUGACGCAGCUAACGCAUUAAAUGAUCCGCCUGAGUAGUAUGCUCGCAAGAGUGAAACUUAAAGGAAUUGACGGGGACCCGCACAAGCGGUGGAGCAUGUGGUUUAAUUUGAAGAUACACGGAGAACCUUACCCACUCUUGACAUCUUCCGCAAAGCUAUAGAGAUAUAGUGGAGGUUAACGGAAUGACAGAUGGUGCAUGGUUGUCGUCAGCUCGUGUCGUGAGAUGUUUGGUCAAGUCCUGCAACGAGCGCAACCCCUAUCUUCAGUUACUAACGAGUUAUGUCGAGGACUCUGGAGAUACUGCCUGGGUAACUGGGAGGAAGGUGGGGAUGAUGUCAAAUCAUCAUGCCUCUUACGAGUGGGGCAACACACGUGCUACAAUGGUCGGUACAAAGAGAAGCAAUAUGGCGACAUGGAGCAAAUCUCAAAAAGCCGAUCUCAGUUCGGAUUGAAGUCUGCAACUCGACUUCAUGAAGUCGGAAUCGCUAGUAAUCGCAGAUCAGCUAUGCUGCGGUGAAUACGUUCUCGGGUCUUGUACACACCGCCCGUCACACCAUGGGAGCUGGUAAUACCCAAAGUCGGUUUGUUAACCUCGGAGGCGACUG
This 1000-nucleotide ribosomal RNA is filed under the name uncultured Mycoplasma sp. RNAcentral's name for it is "bacterial SSU rRNA". It matches the Rfam family "Bacterial small subunit ribosomal RNA", at positions 448 to 1455 of the family's 1533-position model. The record is from RNAcentral. Lineage: Bacteria; Bacillati; Mycoplasmatota; Mollicutes; Mycoplasmatales; Mycoplasmataceae.